GUUUUAAUAAUUUAAUAAAAAUAUUGAUUUUGUAAAUCAAAAAUAAGAAAUAAUCUUUUAAAACU
This 65-nucleotide transfer RNA is filed under the name Leptocimbex sp. Its description in RNAcentral is "tRNA-Thr". The record is from RNAcentral. Lineage: Eukaryota; Metazoa; Arthropoda; Insecta; Hymenoptera; Cimbicidae.